RNAcentral lists this long non-coding RNA (6521 nucleotides) under Coffea arabica (coffee). RNAcentral's name for it is "long non-coding RNA (CARA_LNC002028)". The record is from RNAcentral. Lineage: Eukaryota; Viridiplantae; Streptophyta; Magnoliopsida; Gentianales; Rubiaceae.
CAAAACUGCAAAUAGUAAAGAAAAUACUGGGUUCAUUAACAAGAUGAGAGCCCCCCAAAAAACAAAAAGUAUUGAAGUUUUCCUACAAAUAUGAUACUCACGAUGGCAGGUCGUAUAGGCGAACGGUAUUGUCUUUGCAUGAAACAAGCAGGAUGUGCUUGGACUGUGAAUCUUCUAUUCCACAGAGAGCAAGUAUACCCUGAAUUAGAGGAAAAUCAUCACAUUUAGGAUCUCAUAUUAAAAAUCAGCUUCAUGUAGAGAUAAAAUACAGUUUGAUGCUGUUUGCUAUGGAUGCACCCAAAGUAGAAUGUGCUCACAUUGUCUUCUUCCACUUCAUUGACUACUUCCAAGUCUCCAAUUUCAUUUGCUGCCCAGACCUACAAAAAGCACAAAGUAUACCAACGAUCAAAGAAUGCACGUAACAAAAAUAAAACUUUAUCAUUAAAUCAAGAAAGUGGCUAUUAAGCGGAAAGGCAACAAAACACACCUUCAAUCUGUUGUCCAAUGAACCAGACAGCAAAAACUUGUCCCAGCAAAGGACAGACGUGACAAAAUUCUUAUGUCCAUUUAAUAUUUGCAGACACUGCAAAGUUUUCAGGUCCCACACCUGAAAGUUAAAAACCAUAGAAGUGAAUGAGACAAGAAAGUGCAACUUUGUAAAGGAGACACCAAACUACGAAAUCCUGUGCAGUGUCAGCAACUACAGCCAAUGGCGGCCACAGACAUUAAGGAUUAUUUUCUUUCUUUUAAUUUUUUUUCCUUUUUUUUGGGGGGAGGGGGAAGAAGGGUGGGAAACCUACAUAUUUACAAGACUUAGGAGGACUACGUUCAAUUAUCAUUGUUGUUUUCUAAUUUCUGAAGGGGAUGAUGGGGAAAAGGGUCAUUCUAAUUUUUCUGAACUUGAAAACAACUAAACAUCCAAUAAGAAACAAAACAAAUUUCAUAAAUCUUCAAUCCAGUUGCACCCAAACGUGUCACAAUAUUUUUCAGCUCAUCAGUACCAUUUUUCUUGAAGAUGCCAAGGUUGAAAUAACAUAUAAAAAGUACGAAAACAACAUGCAAAGAUCAGCUAAUAAAACGUUAUCUACAAUAAAAAUCAGAUGCAAUGAAACAAACGAGAGAAAGGAUGAAAAGCACAAAUUUCUGGAACUAAAGAGGACUACAAUCAUCCAAAUAUAUGAGAAACUUUAUGUUUUAGACUAAGGAUAGAUUAAUUUGCAUCCAUAUGCAAAAUGUCAUCGCAAAAAAGUACUAAGAGAUUCAACUAAAGAACUACUGAUACUGAUAAUCCUUAAUUAAAGGUACUCUAACAGGGAGAAUAUCAUAAAAGGGGACCAUACUCUUAUGCUUUCAUCCUCGGAACCUGAGUAGAGGCAAUUAGCUCCCACAACAAGCGAGAGCACAGCAAAUCUGUGGCCCAUUAAAAAAGCCACCGGUUCAGGGGAACAGGACACUGAUGUGGACUUCCACACCAAUAUGGAACCAUCCUGCCACAAACAAAUUAUUACAAACAUAGAAAUACAACACUAACUCUAGUCACUUGGCAAUAUAAAACUUAGAUAUACAAAUUAAGAAAAUUAUCAAAUCUACAAUCUAAGGAACUAAUGCUAGCAAAAUUAGGAAUAACUCAAAUAACUGAUGGUAGGUACCUGCACUCCGCCAAAAAGCAUAUCUUCACCCACAUCCAUGGCAUGAACUAGGCCAUUUGGUCCACUAAGGACAAGCUCAGUCCGACUUUCGAUGUUCCAUGCCUACAACAAGAACAUUCGUACAAUUAUCAUACAAUACAAGUGAAUAUACCAAGUAAUAAUUGUGCAGAAACAGGGCCCUGAUCAUUAGAGACGUCCCAACAGGAAAGCUAUAUUAAAAAUUGAUCAUGAUGGCAUAAUGGUGAAAAGCUCUCAGACUGUCAUACCUGUACAGCAUUUUGCAAACCUGCAAAUACCCAUGGGCCUUCACUUAUCAAGCAUCCAAUUUCACCACCGAGUUCAGCAGUCACAACACACUGCAUCAAGAGAUAGAAUACCAAUGAAGCACUCCUUAUUUAGGAGAAAGUGAAUCAAUUUCACAGAUGAAGGGACAGAAGCCAACCUGACCAGUGUGGCAAUCCCAAACACAGACAGAAUUAUCCUUACUGCUGGAAAAGAGCUUGUCUGACCCAGAAGGAAGAGCUAUGCCAGUAACAGCCUAUGCCAAAAGUUUCAUAAAUUGAUUAAAAGCGAAAGAUGGAAGAUGCUUCAGGAAAACAGAAAAGAAUAAAUUAAAAUCCAGAAAUAAAAUAUUCAUUAGAUAAUCACCUUACUGUGCUUCUGUAACUUUGUCAACGGUGAGAACCCAGAGCCUGAGAAUAAUGAAUGCAAAUCCUUGCAUUUUUCACCAUCAACGCAAUUACCACUGACCCAAUAUGGGCAUAGUUUUUUCUGGGAUUUCUGACAACUUCCACCAACAGAACAAGCUCUUCUGGAGGUCAAAACCUCAUUCUUUGUCACGUGAACCAUUUUACCUUCAGCACCCACACCUUCUGUGGAUGAAACUGCUAAAAUCUUAGGGUUGGAGAGGUCGGGAUUCCUCCAAGUGGAUCUAAACUUAUUGCCUCUUUGACCAUUGGAUGAUGUCCGAGGGGGUCGCUUUGGUUGUGUUUGUCGUUGUGGGGGCUGGUCUUGUCGUGGUUUCAGUGAAUCUACAUGGCGAAACCUGCAGGGGUUCCUAGUGCACUUCCCAGCAAGCCAAAAACCACAGACUUGAUUGUUGCCAUAGGGCAGGCUUCCAGAACGAUUAAAGACCAUUUUUCUUGGCUUCUCAAUGGGCCUGCUCUCUGUCUUGAUUUCCAUGAUACUAAUGCAAAGAAUUUGCAGAAACCACAAUUACUCAAAAAGGCAAAAAGAACUCUUUGGAACAUUUAAAAGAAAAAAACUUGUGCUUUCUGGCAAAGAACCUGCCGCAACAAUCCGAUGCAAUAGACCAACUAAAACCCCAAACCACUGAUCUUUGAUCUCGGAUAUCCCAAAACUAUCCAGGUUGCAGGCAGACUCCAUAGCAGAAGCACAAACAAAAAAUACCACAUAGCUGUAGAAAAUCUUAAGCUAAAGCAAUCCAAUCCUAAUUUUCCCCUCUGAUCACUAAAUCAACCGAGCAGAGUGGAAGAGAAUUGAAUCGUAGCAGCACCAAAAAUUCCAAAUAACAGCUAAAUCAGACGCCAAAAUCUAAGAACUAAAUACCGGCCCAUAAAACAAUAAGAGGACCAGAUAAAAUGGCCAAAAAGCAUUCUGAAAAGUAAGCACUUGAUGAGAACCACUAUUCAAACCCAUCACUCAGAAACCCUAAUUUCCCCAAUCUUUGAGGAGAACUCCAGAUAAUCUAGUCGGUCAUCUCUGCAGAAUCAUCACGGAUAUUCCAAGAACAAUACGACAAAAUUCAUCCACAAUCACGAAACCCUAAACAAGAAAACCCAAAAACUCCAAGGCCGCAAUGAGCGAAAAUCGGACGCCAAGGCCACAGCAGCGAAGAAAAACGACCCGCUUUUCGAAAUAACAUCCUUGAAACCAAGGCAAACUGAGCGAUGAAUACAAACAACGUUUUAUGUAUCGAUUCUUGAAAAAGAUAACAGCAAACCUGAGACUGCGAAUGCAAAAACUCAAAAUGCCCCCUGACAGAAUGCGACUCCGCUAAAAACCUUUGCUUCGAUCGAUCGGAGAUAAUUGACGAAAACUCACAACUUUGAUAACUAAAGUUUCUAUCUUUCCUUCAGAGGGAAGCGCGUUGGACAGUUACAGCUAGUUUGCGAGGGAGGGAGGGAGGGAGGGAAUGAAUAGAAAGGAAGGGAUUUGGAAUUGGAUGAAUGCGCUCCUCUUUCUGUCGCUGUUUGGGAGUAGAUGGGAUAAAGAAAACGAAGGAUUUUAUAGGAUUUUGCUUUCUUGGGGUCCAAGGAAAAAGAAUGAUUUGAGUGCAAUUUUUUAAUAUGACAAAUAUACCCUUAAAAAGGCAAUACAGAUGUGUUUAAUUCCCGAUGAAUCCCUCUCUUGAACAAAAUCCUUUCACAUUCUUUCACCGGAAUACGUCCUUUGGAUGGGAACCCUACUCUACACCGAGUGAAUAGGUGGAUCUAUCAUCUAAGGAGUCAAUGAGGAACUCAUCGCUCGAGGCCUUUGCAUUUGUUCGUGAAAUUUUUAAAAAAUCUUGAACAAGUGCGAUGAAAUUAGCUAUUUUUAUAGAUAUUUUAAAAAUAUUUUAUUGUAACAGAGUAUUUAUAAUAUAUUUUAAAAUAUUUUUAAAAAAUAUAUUGAGAUAUUUAAAAAUAGAAGAGUUUUUAAAAUAUAUUUUAAAAUUUUUUUAAAUAUUUAAAAAAACAUAAAUUACUUUUUAGAAUACUUUUAAAAAUAUUUUUUAAAAAUUUUAAUAGUAUUUGAAAAAUUAAUUUUUGAAAAACUCAGCCAUCCAAACAGUAAGUUUAAAACUUUUCUGGUAACCAACUGCUUUAGUUGAUUUUUUCGCCGAAAUACCACCUUCUUCUUCCUUUUUUGGCGCCGUGAAAAAAGUAGGUGGCUCAUUUAGGACUCUUUUUCUUUCACAGGUUAGCGAUCAAAUUUCUCUCAUUCUUAUUUUACUUUCUACGGUUCACUUUAGUUUUGCUUGACUUAAGCAUUAAAGGCUUGAGAAUUAUGGUGGAUUGACAAUAAAUUUACUAAUAAAUACUUUAUCUAUUUAUUACUAAAUUGACUCAUAAAAUAAAUCUAUUAUCAGCAAUAAUUUUAGAUGGAUGCAGAAGCAAAUGAACUAGUUUCCUAAAGAUUACUACUUAUUUACUUUGUUUAUGGAAAGGCCAUAUUUGUAAAGAAACUUAUUUAACCAUCAUUUCUUUUCAUUUGUCUUCAACUAGAAACAAAUGAAACUACUUAAGUUCUUUUCUUUUCUAAACUCCCAACGAUUUGAAAUGAAGAUCGUAUCAUUUCUCUUCUUUUCUUUGCCUUUCUAACAUGUCAUUUUUCUUUUUUGCUUUUCUAUUCUAAACUCCCAAACUAGCUAGGAAAGAAAGCAUCUCAAGAGCAUACGAGUUUUGAUAUAUGGAUUGUUUACCUUAUUUUACAGACCAUACCCUAACCUAAUUUUUCAAACAAGUUCGAAUAACCUAAUCAUUUUAAAAAUUAUGCAUUAUUUAUCCUAUAUUUUUGUUUGGACCAGUUUAAUUUUCUUGAUUACCCGAUUUUUCAAUUCUUUUUUAACACCCUGAAUGGGAGGUCUCGAAUAUGAAAUCUCUCACUUACACUUUCUUUUUCGUAUCACUUAACCUAUCCCUCUUUUUUCUUUGCUUUUCUUGUUUGAGUUCUUUUAUUUUCCCGUUUGAUUGCCCAAUAUAUAUAUAUAUAUAUAUAUAUGUAUAUAUGUAUAUGUAUAUAUAUAUAUGAAAAGCAAUUCAAAAAAUGAAGCAAGCAAAUGCAUGGUAUACCAAACUAACGUAUAGGUAACAUUUUCUCUCUCAAUACGAUGCCACCACUUGUACAAGAUCUACACUUACUGCCAAUAAUAUAUCAAUUUAAAAAAUACUUAAAUCUUUAGAAUUUAAUGAUAAUCCUAUAUUUUUUAUUUCGUUCAUCGAAACGAUGAUUUUAUUCAUGGCGACCAAAAAUACAGAUUAUAAGGGUAGAAAUUGAUCAAUUUUAUUUUUUUGUAGUAAUAGCACUGCACCCAGACCCAGUUCUAUUUUCAUUUGGAUUGUAAGUUUAAUAGUAAACAACUUAUGAUAGUCUGGUAAGUUGGAUGCAUUUUUGUUGGUUUAAUAUCUGGAUGUAGCAUCAUCAUUAAAGGGAAAAAGAAAGACCCACUGGUGAUAAGUUCGACAACUUAAUCGAAAAGAUAAUAUCUUACACUUGAUAGAUAAAAGGAUGUCUCCAUGUUUUUUACAUAUUCAGUCUCUCCGAAAGAGAGUGUUCUUAUCAAUCCCCUCCUAAAGCUACAAGUGAAAGCUCUAUUACAGUUCCAGGAGAGGCUUUCACGACGAUUUAGCCUCCUCUGCAGAUGACCCUCCUAGCAGCUUCCAAACAGACAGCUGUCCUGUAGCAUCACCAGUGAAAAACAGGUCACCACAACCUACGGCAAUGGCCUCUAUUACAGUUCCAGGAGAGGCUUUCACGACGAUUUAGCCCUCCUCUGCAGAUGACCCUCCAAGCAGCUUCCAAACAGAUAACUGUCCUGUAGCAUCACCAGUGAAAAACAGGUCACCACAACCUACGGCAAUGGCCUCAACUUCUCUCUUAGCAAAUACUCUGCCUCUUUCAGAAAAUCUGUAGAAGUUCAAAACAAUGAAUCCAUUUAUCAGAUGAAGGAACAUCAACAAAAUCUUUCCACCCAAAAAAAACAAAUAAAUCAAGAAUCUAUGAACGUGACGACACUCACGAUGGCAGGUCGUAUAGGCGAACGGUAUUGUCUUUGCAUGAAACAAGCAGGAUGUGCUUGGACUGUGAAUCUUCUAUUCCACUAAGAGCAAGAAUACCACUUUCUUCCUUAAAUUCAUAAACUACUUGCAC